This 8263-nucleotide long non-coding RNA is filed under the name Brassica napus (rape). RNAcentral describes it as "long non-coding RNA (BNAP_LNC016711)". The record is from RNAcentral. Lineage: Eukaryota; Viridiplantae; Streptophyta; Magnoliopsida; Brassicales; Brassicaceae.
GAUGGGUUUAGUUUUCGGGAAACAGUAUGAACUGGAGUCUAAUAACAACGUUGAGUCGGAAUGCUUGAAGGGUUUGGUUGAAGAGGGGUACGAUCUUCUCGGUACACUUAACUGGACCGACCACCUUCCUUGGUUAGGCGGUCUAGAUUUUCAACAAGUCCGGUUCAGAUGCUCUCAGCUUGUACCGAAAGUAAACCAGUUAUUGAGCCGAAUCAUUCAUGAACACCGUGCACCUACGUGCAGUUUUCUCGACGUGUUACAUUCUCUUCAUGAUUCAGAAAAAUUAUCAGAAUCCGACAUGGUCGCUGUUCUUUGGGUACGUAAACAUUAUAUAAUUCUUGUAAUAUGUAGAACAUGGACAUUAAUAUUUCAAAUUUUUGGUCCCUUUAGGAAAUGAUAUUUAGGGGGACGGACACAGUGGCCGUGCUGAUCGAGUGGGUGCUAGCGAGGAUUGUAAUGCAUCCUAAAGUUCAGUCAACGGUCCACGAUGAGCUUGACCGAGUCGUUGGCAGAUCCAAAGCCGUUGAUGAGUCUGACCUCCCAUCUCUCACGUAUCUAACGGCUAUGAUCAAAGAAGUGUUGAGGCUGCAUCCACCAGGCCCACUUCUCUCUUGGGCUCGUCUCUCCAUAACGGACACCACCGUAGACGGAUAUCACGUGCCGGCUGGGACCACCGCGAUGGUCAACAUGUGGGCUAUAGCACGUGAUCCACACGUGUGGGAGAAUCCUUUGGAGUUUAAGCCUGAGAGGUUCGUGGCAAAAGAGGGUGAAGCUGAGUUCUCUGUUCUCGGGUCGGAUAUGAGGUUGGCACCCUUCGGGUCGGGUAAGAGAGUUUGCCCGGGAAAGAAUUUGGGGCUUGCGACGGUUUCGUUUUGGGUUGCAACGCUCUUGCAUGAGUUUGAGUGGCUUUCUAGUGUCAACGCUAACCCUCCUGAUCUUUCAGAUGUUUUGAGGCUGUCGUGCGAGAUGGCUUGUCCUCUUGUCGUUAACUUACGCUCAAGGCGUAAGAUAGCAUAAGCUUCGGUUUAGUCAAUGCACGAAUGCUUCAAAGUUAUUGGCAAAUUAAAAAAACACGUAUUCUAAUAAAACCUGGAAAACUGAUAUGUAUGCAAAGUCCAAAGUGCGAUGUAUAUUCGCCCAUCUUUUAUUGAUUAAGGGAACAUAUUAAUGUAUUUGUAUUAUAUGAAAUAAAUUUAAUAUAUGUUUCAUGCGUACGGUUUGAUGGUGAGUAAUGUUGUUAAUUUUAUUAACCAACGCAGUAGUACGGUAGUCUCGGCUCUAAAAAAACUUAAACACGUUUCAGUUUUACGUGGGCCAUUUGGUUAUUUGAACUUAAACUCAUGUGUUUGUUUCGUUAUGAACUAGUGAGAAAUUCCUUGUAAAAAUUUGUUGGCGUGAGUCGCAUGUUUCGGCUAACCUUCGGUAUGCAAUGCUAAAUCUACAGAAAAUACAAUUUGUACAUUAACUAGUGGUCGCUAUUUAAUUUAACUUAACUAACUUUUCUUAGAUAUAAGAGUUCUAAGAUAUUGGUAAUAUAUAACUAAUUAAAGUUCACUUAUCUUCAAAUGAAUUCAACGAUCAUCCUAGGAAUUAUUCCACUUAACUAAAAUAAAUAACUCUAUACUUCGCGUGUUGAACGAUUAACUGAAUUAUCUUCUCCAGCUUUAAUUAUAUCCUACUCCCAAUUGUAUAAAAUAAUAUGCUUAAUUUGCUACGAAGUUUCUUAGAAGAGCUAGGUCAGUCAACGAUUUUACUAAUGAAACAAGCAUUUGGCUGAAAUUGUGUAUAAUAGGUGUCGUCGUCGAGUGUUCGACUCAGCUAGUGUUUCUGGUUGUUCCAUUACGUGAUCUCAUUAACGCUUGUGUAAUGGACUUAUCACUUCUGAACUUCUAGCAUUUUUAUUUUGUUGUUGACCAACGCAUUAGUCCUCUUAUAUCAGUUUGUUUAUUUAACAUUCGGCAAAUACAUAUCUGACUUCCACUUUUGUUGGUGAAAACAACUUAAACACAUAUCUGACUGCUUACAAACUGUUAAGGUGAUAAAAGAAGAUAAAAAGAUUAGCCGAUUUGACAAUCUGAGAUAGAUGAUUUCUUAUAUUUUUGUUUUACUUUUAUAGAAUUUUUUCCUAUUUCUUUCAGUGCUCAACUCCUUGCUAAAAGAAUCGCAUUUUCUGGAUAAAUGUUAUUGAGUAUGAAUUAAGUCAUGAGGCUUGCCUACUUGAAUUAACGUAUAAUAUAUGGAAUUAUUUGCCAUUAAAAAAUAUUGACACUGAGUCAUUGGCGUUAAGUGGAUAAUCAUGAAUAAUGCAGUUAAUAAAUUUCUUUUACAUGCUACCACAAAGUAUAUACGGCAAUACCGAAUUACAAACUUUGUGUAAAACAACUGUUGGUCAAGACCUCUGUUUACCAGAUGAAAUCGAAAACCCAGAUUCACACAAAACUCUCGGCUCUCUUUUUGGGGGUGGGGAGGAAGAAGGAGAAAGGGGUCUCUUCAGAUUUGUGGUCUGGUUUGGUUUAAUCUGGAGGAGACGACUGCUUUUUCGCAUCUACUGUUGAAUCAUUUUUAAUUAAUUAAUUGUAUCAUUUGGAUCUUUUCAGGAGCUCUCGUUAUAAGAGGCCCUGGUUGAUUUUUAGCCCAUUGUUUUCACAUCUUUAUCUUGUCCUCUUUAUUGGGCCCUGCAGAUUUUUGUUGUUAUAUUCGAAAGAUUGAUGGUUUUUUGGUCCAGAAAUAUUGAUGUUUUAGAAUUUUAAUUGAUGUGUUUUACUUUAAAACUAAAACAUAUACUAUUUAAAUAUAAAAAUAUGAUUAUCUGAAAUUUAUUAGAAAACAUAUAAAAAUUUAAACUAAAAUAAGAGAAAUUUCCUAGGAUAGUCUUUUAAAAAACAAAUUGUCACAAAAAUAGCCCUGAAAAUGACCAAAAUAAGUUUUACCCUAGAGUUAACCAAUUUAAACUUAGGGUUUAGAGUUAAAUAGUGAAGUUUUGGGGAUAUAAUUUCAAAUUAAAAUUAAAAUAAAAAUAAAAAAUAAAUGUUAAAAUUUUCAAAAUAAAAAAAGGACUAUUUUGAUUUUUUUUUUUUUUUUGAAGGUUAUUUUUGUGACAAAAACUUAAAAAUUGUUAUUUACAAAAACUUAAAAAUGGUUAUUUGAGAGAAUUGCCUUAAAAUAAAACUAGCAAGUAAAGAUAAAAAUAAAAAUUAAUUUUUUUGUGUGAAUAAUCUUAAUUUACAUAUUUAAUUUUUCAAUUUUGGUGACAUUUACAACGAAAUAAAACAGAUAUUUAUUCAUUUAGGAUGUUGUCUUGUUCGAAAAAACAAUCCAACCGAUUAAUUUUUUUGUCUUAUACAAUCAAUAAAUUUAAUUUCAAGCAACAAGAAUGAAAAGAAAGAAAGGGACCAAAAAAAGCAAUAAAUUCAUACAUGAGGGAGGAGUAGAGAACAACCAACAAUUGAUAGAUCAUAAGAGCUUUUUAGUUGGUCUCUCCAGACAAAAUGUGGGUUUCAUAUUGAAUCAAUCAAUUGUUUUAGCAAAAUAAUAAUACUAGUAAAGAUCUUUUUCUUUAAUUAUGUCGGUUCAUGCUCACAGCUAUAUUAACAUUGUAUAUUCAUUUAAAGCUAUAUUAAGAGUAUUAAAAGAACGAACAGAGAGCAUCGUUGCUGUCUUCACAAAACAAGAUCGGCUCAAACCGUUUUUCUUCCCACUUUCUCUGUUUCACUGACUCUCCACUUACUCAAACAGAAAGGUAGUCAAAACUUUACUGAGUUUUUCCUCUUCAUCGACCCAGUUCCACCUCAACAAUGAACGAAGAGAUGAGCGGAGAGACGCCGGAGAAUAAACAUGUAAGUAGACCAACAUUGCCGGAAAAGAUCGACUACGUGUUCAAGGUGGUAGUGAUUGGUGACUCUGCGGUCGGAAAAACGCAGCUCCUUUCACGUUUUACACAGAACGAGUUCUGUUACGACUCAAAGUCCACCAUUGGUGUCGAGUUUCAGACACGUACGAUCACUCAUCAAGGCAAGCUCGUUAAAGCUCAGAUCUGGGAUACCGCCGGUCAAGAAAGGUAAAUGUCUAUCUACAUCUAUACACACAUUUAACUAUUCUUACAAAGCUGAAUCUCAGGUUGGCUUUCAAAUUAAAUUGUUUACAUAUUUUAAAGUAUAGUUUAUUUUUCUUGGAUCACGACAUUUAGAUAUGAUUUGAUUUGAUUUCCGAUCUACUUAUAAUCAUUGAUUAUACGUUUUUUUUUUUAAACUAUUGGUUUUCUAACUAUUUUGUUAUUAGAACUAAUCAAUGAGUUGUUUUACUGCGUUUUCGGAGAUUAGAUACAGAGCGGUGACAAGCGCGUAUUACAGAGGCGCGUUAGGUGCUAUGGUCGUUUACGACAUAACUAAACGCGUCUCCUUCGACCACGUGGCACGUUGGGUUGAGGACUUGCGAGCUCACGCCGACGACUCCGCCGUGAUUAUGCUCGUCGGAAACAAAGCCGACCUUGCCGCCGAUAAACGCGCCGUCACGACAGAAGACGCCGUCGAGUUCGCCGAGACUCAUCGGCUAUUCUUCUCGGAAGUCUCGGCUCUAAGCGGCGGGAACGUCGACGAAGCUUUUUUCCGUCUGCUAGAGGAGAUUUUCAGCCGCGUUGUUGUUGCGAGAAAAGCUCUGGAAUGUCAGAAUGGGACUACCGCGAAACUUGACGGUUCGAGAAUUGAUGUGAUCAUCUCUGGUUCUGAUCUUGAGACUGGUAAGACGAAUGAACCAGCUUCGUGCUCGUGUUGAUUUUGAGUUUUGAGUGAUGGACUCAAGUAUGGGCCAGAAACCUCGAGACAUAGUGGGACUUUUUUUUUAAUAUCAUUUUACCCAUGUCUUUGUUUAUGGGCUUUUUAUAUAUUUUGUGAAUUGGUGGUACUUAUUCGAUACCGUCUAAAAACUAUUCAUGUCAUAUUUGAUAUCUUUUUUUCUACACCAUUUAUAAUAUUCAUUUAAUAUUAUUGUAUAUGCAAAAAUGGAAGUAUUUUAUACCUUAAACAAACAUUUGAAAUUAUUGACGUUCUUUUUUUUUUGCGCAAACUGAUUUCCAUUAAAUUGAAAAGCUUAAGUUGGGUUUAAGGCCCAUAAAACAUGUUUGACUAUAGAAUCGGCUCAAAGCUCUAGAAAUGAAAGUAAACUUGAUUAUUUUAAAUGAGAACGAUAGGAAAUAGAUGUCACGAAGAAUGCCCUAGAUUUCUAACUUCAUCUCAUGUAUGUUUAUCAUGUUGAUGAGGACAUAAGAAUCAUAAAGCACAGUGAUGAAGUCGAAUCCGUGAUUGAGGGCAAAGUUUAUGGCUGUGAAUACUGCCAUAGUUUCUGCCAUAAGAGCGAGGAGACAAAAGUCUAAGUCGCUGGAUGCUGACGUACAAAUGACAAAAAUUACACGAAAACUGCAUUGCAAAAAGCUUUCUAAUUGCUGUUAUUAGCUGUAAGUCUGUAUAUAUAUAUGCAACUAAUUAAAUCUCAGUUAAAUUUCUAAAGCCACUGUCACGCGAUUUUUAAAAUGACAAUCAAACCUUUUCACUAUAAAUAUUUCACACAUAAGUACUUUACUGUUCUUUGUUUUUUUUCGUCAACAGCUGUUCUUCGUUAAUAGGUUUUCUUCAGCUGUUAUAUGUUAUUACUUAUGAGGAACUGGUAUUACAUAUAGAGAAAAUAUAGAUCGAGAACACCAAAUUAUCAUAAAUAUGGAACUUUGUGAUUAUUAAAAAGUUUUGUUAUACGAUUUUAUGUUCUUUUAAAAGUGUUUAAUGGGGUUGAUUGUAUGAUCACAAUAUAGGUUAUACAUGAUCGUGCGUUCACCCACUCUGAUAUGAUUGUUCAUGGGGAGUUUUGUAUAGAAUUAAGUGAAAUUAUUAGAAUUUACAAUAAGAUCACUAAGCAGAUAUUUUCAUAAUAUUUUUUUAUAAACCCUAUCGGCUGAUCCGGUCGGCCCCGGGAGGAACGCGAUUAGUGAAAUAUUUUCAUAAUAUUUUUCAUGACAUCAACUGUGAGUGUCACUUAGAAUCUCGAAUAUAAUCCAAAUCCGACAUAAGAUAUGAUUCUCUUAUUUUUGCAUUCAACCGAAUAAUCUGAAGUGCUCCAAUCGCAAACUCGUUUUCUCGCCCAUGACCUAAAAAUGGUCUUUUAUAUAAUGCGCAUAUGAUUAAUCCGCCACCAAAGUGCUUUGUGACCACUUAUUUACUUAUUUAUAUGCUGAUAACUCUGUGUUAUGUGUAAAGUUACUAAUUAGUUUAAUAUUUAUAAGCAAGAGUAAGAUUCUCAUGAUAAACAUUUAAAUUAGUAUCUCCAGUAUGAUUGUAUUCAAUAAGUAUUAGCUGAAUUAAGCUAGUUGAUAGUAUAUCAUAAUUUUGACAAAUUUAACGUAACAAUUUUCAUAAUCAUUUACUGCUGUUAGAAACCUGUGUUAUAAUUAUAACUUUCCUUUUUGGGUCAAAAUUACAACUUUCUAUACAUAAAAGAGAUAACUUAAAGGAAAGGCAGUUGACUUGAGAAUAUAAAGUCAAUUGGAGAGCAAUUUGCAGGAGAAAAGUCAUAAAAGUCGUACAUUCGCCACUUGUAAUUAACAAGAGAAUCAUCGGAAAAUGGCAUCUUUGAAAAUAAUAUUGGUAAUUACGUAUACAUAUUGUUUAUAAUUUUUUAAAAAUAUAUUAUUUAUAUUGUUUUUAAGCAUAUAUCGUCUUUUGUUAUUAAGCACUACGUUAAGAUAUGCAAGUUACUUUAUUAAGAUGCAUAUAUACUCACUUCUAUUACAUAUAUAUGGUAAUAUAUAUAUGUUUCUAAAACAUAGUAUUAUAUAUGCAAACAAAGUAGAAUAUUAAUCAAUUUUAAAACUAGUUACAAUUUUUAAAAAAAAAUUAGACAACUUUUUACAAAUGAAACCAAUGGGACAGGUGUAGGAAUAGUGUCUUCAAUAUGUGUAUAGAUUAGAAAAUCUUUUGAGGAUAUAGUCAUUUGAGUGUAGCAAACAUAACAUGACAUAUGCAUAUGAUGACCACAAGUGCAUAUUGGCAGCAUAUACCCGUUUGAGCACCUACAUAUAACUUUGAACUAAUAAAUAUUUAAAUGUAUAUGAAAAACCUUUCGAAUGAUAAAUGAUUAAAUUUUAAACCAAACUAUGAUCUGGCAUUGGCUAAUAGCUUCACACUUCGUUGGCACGUCUAUUUAAAGCUUCACAAAGACGCGAACUUAAAUCACAACCCGAAAACGAAAAAUAUCACAAGAAAAGAAAAAAAAACCAUUUAUUCAGUAUGUUUUCUCUGGGUAUGAGAACCGAAAUAGAAAAUCUGUGGGUCUUUGCUCUUGCAUCAAAAUGCAAUAUUUUCAUUCAAGAACAUUUUAUUUCUCUUCUCAUCGCCGUAGCCAUCACUUGGUUUACCUUCACCAUCGUAUUUUGGUCUACACCUGGUGGACCGGCUUGGGGAAGAUACUUUUUCACUCGCCGGUUUACUUCCGGCUGUAACCAAAAAAACAAGAAUCUCAUUCCCGGUCCGAGAGGGUUUCCACUCGUGGGAAGCAUGAGCCUAAGGUCAAGCCGCGUAGCUCACCAGCGCAUAGCAGCAGUGGCUGCGAUGAGAAACGCCAAGCGGCUCAUGGCGUUUAGCCUCGGUGAUACCAAGGUGAUGGUGACGUGUCAUCCUGACGUGGCAAAGGAGAUACUGAACAGCUCGGUGUUUGCAGACCGACCUGUUGACGAAACCGCUUAUGGUUUGAUGUUUAACCGAGCCAUGGGAUUUGCUCCAAGUGGUGCUUACUGGCGCACGCUACGUCGGUUAGGUUCGAACCAUCUUUUUAACCCAAAGCAAAUCAAACGCUCGGAGGAGCAGAGACGAGUGAUCGCGACUCAGAUGGUGAAUGUAUUUGCACGUAACGCUGAAACCGCGUUUGGAGUACGUGAUUUGCUAAAAACGGCGUCGUUGUCUAACAUGAUGGGUUUAGUUUUCGGGAAACAGUAUGAACUGGAGUCUAAUAACAACGUUGAGUCGGAAUGCUUGAAGGGUUUGGUUGAAGAGGGGUACGAUCUUCUCGGUACACUUAACUGGACCGACCACCUUCCUUGGUUAGGCGGUCUAGAUUUUCAACAAGUCCGGUUCAGAUGCUCUCAGCUUGUACCGAAAGUAAACCAGUUAUUGAGCCGAAUCAUUCAUGAACACCGUGCACCUACGUGCAGUUUUCUCGACGUGUUACAUUCUCUUCAUGAUUCAGAAAAAUUAUCAGAAUCCGACAUGGUCGCUGUUCUUUG